Molecule: transfer RNA, 81 nt
Filed under: Parasedimentitalea marina
Lineage: Bacteria; Pseudomonadati; Pseudomonadota; Alphaproteobacteria; Rhodobacterales; Paracoccaceae
Description: Sedimentitalea sp. W43 tRNA-Met
Rfam family: tRNA (bases 8-78)
About the family: Transfer RNA (tRNA) molecules are approximately 80 nucleotides in length. Their secondary structure includes four short double-helical elements and three loops (D, anti-codon, and T loops).
Source: RNAcentral
CCCGGACUGUUUGAUUAACGGUCUCACCUCAUCAGGCUCAUAACCUGAAGGUCGUAGGUUCAAAUCCUACUCCCGCAACCA